RNAcentral lists this unclassified non-coding RNA (15471 nucleotides) under Leishmania donovani. RNAcentral's name for it is "gene:LdHU3.34.4180(CDS-product:hypothetical_prote in_conserved)". The record is from RNAcentral. Lineage: Eukaryota; Euglenozoa; Kinetoplastea; Trypanosomatida; Trypanosomatidae.
AUUUUUCUCUGCCAUUAUUUUUUCACGCUCACAAACAAGCAAACAAACAACAAAAAGCGAUAAGCAAAGGGUUUUCUCAAACGCGCCGCCAAUUCCGUCAACCACUGCGACGACUAGUGUACCAAGCUAUCUUCCCUCCCUUCCCCUCCCCAUUUUAAGGCUACCACAGUUGUGCCUCUGAUCCGGUGUACGCGCUGUUCCUCCCCCUUUUUUCUGUUUUCCUUUCUGUUUUUUUUUUUUUUCUCUCUUCGCGGUUAUUGGUUGUCCCCCUUCCCAUCUUGGGUUUUUGUUUUGACUUGUCUCUCUAUCUACCCCCUCUCUCUCUCACUCACUCUCUCUCACACACAGACACACACAACCUCAGCUACGCCGCUCCGCGACGAGAAAGAAAAGGCGAAGGGGAACACAGCAGGAAGGACACCACUUCACAUGAAAAACAACGCAAAAAGGCAACGACAACAGCAGUAAAAGACGCUCCUUGUACGCACUGUUUCGAACUUGCUCUGCCUCCUUCCCUCCUUUGUUACCUAUCCUGCUCUUUUUUUUUUGUUUUGCCCGAUUAUCGCGUGCUGAGAGACGGACAGCGCACAAAGAAGGGCAGAAGAGAGAAAGAGUGCAUGUUCUGCCGCAGGAAGGAAACAAGGAUACGAGAGAAAGCGCACAAGACAAACCCCCAGUAGCGUCUGAGGAUCAAGUGAGCGCCACGUCGUGGUCUCCAGCGCACUAUAAGAGGACAGCUCACUGAAGGCACACAAAGCGCUCGCGCACAGCCCCUUCCAUUUUCUCGCCCCUCCCCCUCUCCUUCCCAGUGCAAAAAGCCACCGUCAACAAAAAAAAUCAAAAAAGGGACACGCGAACAGCGUCGGUCUAUCCGCCUGCGUGCGUGCUGAUCUUGCCAGUUUUUAUUAUUAUUUAAAGAAGGAUCUGUGUCUCGCGUUUUUCUUUUUUUUUUCUUCGGUCUUUCUCACUCUUUUUUUUUCGUUUUUUUUCUUUGUUUGUUUCGAUUGAACAACUCCGCUCUUUUCUUUUUUUUCCCCCAUUAGCAUCAAAUAUCACUUUUUUCGCUGUUUCCUUUUUUGUUGUUGUUUCGGUCCUCUUCCACUCUCACCGUCGUGGAUAUCAUCGCGUUCUCCUCCAUCUAUCUUUUUUUUUAUUUCGUACUUUGAUUGUGCCUUCGAGCGUUUCGCUGCCGCAUCUCUUUUUUUUUUACUUUGUUGUGGUUGUGCUCCUCCUUCCUUAGUGGAUGCGAUUGCACAACGCGCACACAGCAAAGAAAAUAAAGACUGGCAACGGCGCGUUAACUCACGAGCGUACGUGCACGCACAGAUUCACAAGGUAACGGAAAUCUUUAUCUGCUUGAGCCGAGACGCAAGAGACCUGUCGAAGGGAAAAGAUUUGUUAUUCAGGCGUCACAGAAGCACCAAAAAAGGAAAAAUGAGCCGUCUUACCUCUGCCGCAUGCCCGCUGUCAGACUGCACGCUCGCGGUCGACAACGCCGAGAACAUUCGUAACAGCAAGGAUGCCGCCCCGUUGGGCCUGAAGGUUGCCACUGCCGCAACAGUAAUUCCAAGUACUCCUCGCCAACGCGCUUUACUGCGGAGUGUCAAGGCCAUAAGCCGCACGGCUGCUGCGGAGACGGUCACCCCGUCUGCGUGUCGCGAGCGUGUUUCCGGCUUCGCAUACCACAAGCACGUCACCGCUUCGACGACUGCUGUGAACACCGCCGCAAUGAUGCCGCUCUCCGCCGCGUGUGUGGCUUAUUGCUCUUCCUCGCUCGACAGCCACGUCUUCGCCAAGCCCUUCACGCCUGCCUCGACGCCGCACCGCAACGACCCGUACUCACCGUGUCUGCUGAAAAGCUGCUGCACCCCGGAGGACAGCUUCUACGCGUGCUACAGCGAAGUGGAUGAGACUCCCGCAGUGGUGGCAGUGAAUCCUGCAAACACGCCGAUCCGCUCGCACGUCGUGGGCCAGAAGGCUGCUCUGCCCACCGAAACCCAGGCGCUGCUCAAGUUGCUUUCGAAAGCGACCGCCUCCACGUCGCCCUUCAUGUCCCCGAUGGCGACGCCGCUGAAGACGGCUGACAGCAUGGAGCAGUCUCCCGCGUCUUUGAUAGCGGGUGGCGGACUGACUACAGCGCCGUCGUUAUCCUCCACGCCGGAGCGCGCCGCCUCGCCGUCAUCUCGGCAGCCGCCCGCCACCUCGGCCCGUGUGAUUCGAAAGGUGGUGAGCUGUGGCGUGGACCGCACCUCGGGUCGCCCGGUGCCAAGGCCGAAGGACUAGGUGAUGGUGGCUGCCCGGACCAUGUUUUUUUUUUGUUCCCGACGCUGAAUCGCGCCUUCGCGCAGGAGGAGAGAUAAACAUGGCCGGGUGCUGAUACUGAUACAUACAUAUAUAUAUAUAUAUGUAUAUAUAUAUAUAUAUAUAUAUAUAUAUAGAUCGAUGCGGCAACGGGAGAAGCGGCGGAUGAGCGGAGAAUGGAAAUCCACCAAUGGUGCCGGUCUGAUUUCAUGUGGAACUGAAGUCGACAAGGCGAGGACCAACAACAGCGACUAAAAGGAAUAGAGAAGGAAAGCGAGAACAGAGAGGUCACAGGCAAGCGUGCGUUGUGUUACCUUCGAAGUGAUUUUGUUCUCUGCUGUUCGACGGACUUUUAUGUGCGCCUGUGUUCAUGUUGACGUCUUCUCCAUGCCGCACUUCGCCAAGCCUUCCCUUUCCCGGCAAACAAGCACUCUUACCGCACCUGCAUUUUAUUCUUGGACGCCUUCCCCCCCCCCCACCUCCCGCCGAUUUUCCUUUGAUUCCAUUGAACCCUCUUCCCACGUUUUUUGGGUUUGUGUGCUGGGUGCAGGUGUGUUUGUGUGUGUGCCGACGCACCGCUGGUGCGCGUAGAGUACGGUGUCUGUGCUUUUUUUUUGUUGAUGCGUGUAUGUGUAUGCGUGUGUGUGUUCGCACGCGUUCAUUUCGUUUUUUUUUUGUCGUCUUUCUUGCCACUUUUUCUUCCUGUACACGCACUGAAGACCUCUUGCUUGCUUUCGUCUCUGCCCACUCCGUCUUUCUCUUCACAUGCAUAUGUGUGUGUAUAUGCGUGUGCGUGUGCGCGUGUGUCUGUCCGUUCGUCGUUUCCUGCCCUCGAGCUCACUGCUUCGGACGACCAUGCACGUGGGAGGGAGAGGUGAGGAGGGGGUAGGAGGAUAGGAGGAAGAGGUGGCGCGCGUACUCCCUGUCUCUCUCUCUCUCUCUCGAAAUGCUGGCGCAUACACACGCACGCACGCCCAAACACACAAACUAGCUAUGCUGUCUGAUUUCUUUCUCGUCCUUCUGGCUUGAACCACGCACACCCCGCAUCUCUCGCUUUCUUUUCUUCUUUUUUUUUGUUGUUGCUUUCAACGAUUUAUCUGUUGGUUUCAUGUUCUCUGCCGCAUCAUGUCUAUCGCUGUUUUGUUGCUGAGCACAGGCGUACGCACGCUUCCUGUCCCUCGGCUGUCAUUCCUGUGUGUGCGUUUGUGCGUGUGUGUGCCUGUGUUUGCGGCUAUCGGUGUUCGACUCGCUUUGUGACUUUUUUUUUAGACCCCCUCCCCUUUUUUGUGCUGAUUCUCCUGUUUCUUCUCUUUUGCCUUUCUCCUCGCCUUGCCUCUUUCUCGUUCAUCGCCGACGCGUGUUGUGUUGUGUGUCUCUUCCUGCCCUCCUGCUCUGUGUUAGUCGACAUCGAAACGGAGAUGGAGGAAAUAAGCCCAUGAUGAUAGCGAUGGCGGCGGCGGUGGUGCGACAACGCGUUCUUUUUCGUUUUUUUUUUGCCGACUCUCUCUCCAUCACGUACUCUAGCGUUAACGGAUUUUAGUUUUCUUUAAAUUCGCAAGCAGGAGAGGAGGCGGUGCUCCGUCUCUUCUCCGUUUGUUUUCUUCCUUUCUUUCAUCUCUUGUGCGUCUUUGUCUGCGACUCUCUCUCUUUCUCACUGCCCUAAUGUUUUUUUUUUCCUCACGCCUGACGAGCACCCCCACCACCAGCGUAGCUACAAGGGCAGACGACGUCCACUUGCGUACGCACGUUUCCAUCUUGUCACUAUCCUCCCCCUUACCCCCGCACACAUACACACAUACAUACAUACACACCCAACUACCAUGCCAAGGCAUUUUAUACAAUGGUGGUGUCGCUCUACCUCUCUGUGGUUUUCAUUUCGUUCUUCUCUUCGUGUUUGUCGGUGGCUUGUUCCUCGCUUGCAUACGUAGAUGUGCUUGUCUGCGUGUGCGUGCGACUCUCUCUCUGUCUUGUUUUUUUUUUCCUCCUUUUUUUUUCGCGCCUCCGGAUCAAACGUGGCGCGAGAGUGCCUCUUGUUCUCUAGGAAAUUCGCCAUCCUUUUCUUUUGUGGACGGUUUCCCUGAGCUUCGACUCAUCAUAUAUCGAACUAGCAGCAAACGCCAAGAAUACAUAUCCACAUCUGUACAUGUGCAUGGGUAUGCCGGUGUGCUUGUGAGUACGUGUAGAGUGUGUCAUUUUUUCUUCUGUAUUCUGAUGCUCUCUUUUUCUGUUCGGCUGUUCUGCCCUCCCCCCUCUUGUUCUGUUUUUUUUUUUAGGUUCUUGCGGGCGUUUUACGGUUUCGGGACUGGUAGGCCUGCGCGCUGUUCAUUCCCAUUGGUACAAUUGUGGCGUCAGGUCGGACUGAGGAACGGAAACAACAACGAAAAAAAACGCAGUGCCUACAGGUCGUGCGCACGGCUUCAACCCCACCUGAGAGAUGGGCGAUCCGAAGAUGAGAGACGCGCAAGAAAACAAGGCAAUCAUGCAGGAGAGCUCCUUGGCGUUUCUCACGAAAAAAGAGGUUGAUGAGGGGUAGGGUCCGUGUAGUUGUGAGAAUAGGAACCAUAGCGGACCUCGCAUACUGGCUGCGUCUCCUCCCAUGUUAUCCCACACCCUCCCAUCGCAGAUGUGAACAGAAGCUUGACGCAUCAAGGAAAUGGAUGCUGUAGCCUUGUCUCUGCACGUGCCGUGUAUCCACAAAGAGAGACAGAUCAAGUAGAGGGAAGAGGCAACUCUCGGAAACCCAGGCUAUUUUUUUUCUACGUUUUUUCUCAUGUUUUUCUUUGCUUUUUUUUCGAGGGGGGAGAUGGCGGGGGAGAUGGAGGAAGCUCACCAUCACGCGGAUGGCCACACGCCUAAACACACACACACACACUCACACGUGUAAGUGAUGACUAUGCACGGCGAGCGGGCGAGCGAAUAAGGUGAAUGCCAAUCCGAUCAGAUCCUUCAUCUGGUAAGCGAUGAGACCAAACAAAACCAUGAGACAGGAAACAGUUCUCACACGAGGCACGUGCGCCUUAUCGAGCCGAACAGCUGUGAGUGAUGCAGGCUACGCUCUCCUUCCCUCCUUUCCCCAUCUCCUCCUUCAUCUUUAGCACGGCUGGGUUAUCCACAUGUUCAUCUCCGAUUUUUACGUUUUGCAUUUUUUCUUUGGAGCUCUCCAUUGUGUCUUUCUCACUGCCUCCGACCGCUGCACGACAUCACACACAAGUCAACUCUGCACACCGUAGGUUUUCGUUUUUUUUCCUUUUUCACGCUGCGUUUUUUUUUGUUGCUGAUUUUUAUUGUUCUUUAUUUUCGUAAUCGCUCUCUCCUUCUUGUCGCAGUUCCUGCCUGACUGCCUCUGUUUCCUCUCUGUGGUGUGUGUGUAUGCGGGGGGGGUUCCUCUUUUAUUGACAUGUGUGCCCUUUACCCCGGCGUACGUGCGCGCGUGUGUGCGUGCGUGUGCCAGUCGUUUUCUGUCUCCUCUCGAUUUUCUUUUUAUUCCUCCUAUUUGGAUUGCUCUUUCCGAAGUCGAUCUGUUCGUGCUUCUUCUCUUUUCACAUAUGCAUGCUAUGAUGAAGACGUGCCUUAGACCGUGAACGCUGACAGCUAAUUCUCGCGCUUUCUUUCUUGCACUUACCACCUCCUCUCUUUCCUAUUUCGACAGGUGAAUGCACCGGUUCCUGCGGAAAUAACACCUUUUUCCUUGCCUCUCGUAUGUUUUACAUUGGUAAACAUUUCUCGGGACACAACGAUGCGACGAGAUCGAGGGCUGACGAAGAUGCGUUCUCUUUUUUUUGGUUUCCAGUGCAGAAAGCUGAACAGACGUGGUGGCACCGCACUCUCGUCCCUACACAAAAUCACAGCAUAUACGUGUAUGAAUACUCUUGUAUAAGUGAAGCACUCUCUUCCUAUUGGUAUGGCCUCGGUGUAAGCGGCACGAUCGCGCACACCCCAGAAGCUGGAUAUCUUGAGACGAAUACGCUGACUCGCUCAUGGCCUCGGUGUAGCCCUCUCUCCCUGCUUCCAAGUUCCACCUCUUUCCCUCACGCUGGCGAAGGAAAGGGCGCAUCUGCGUCGAUCUGUUAUUUUUAGUUCAAGCGGCCGUAGCGAAACGAUAAAAGAACAAAAAUACACUACGAGGUCCACGUUCAGUGGACGACAAUACGAAGAUGCACGCACGCACGCACGCGCGCACACAUAUACAGACACGUGCGUACUGGCAAAUUCAACCAGGAGAGAAGAAAGAGGAGCCAAGUGAUAGAUUGUACAACGGAAGCUGAGAAAAUUAAAGCAUGCGCAAAAACACACAAGCACAUCAGCGAAGAUGCGACGCCACCAUCACCGUCGACUGUGGUGUCUCCACUGCGACGCACUGUGAGUGAUGUGCGCUUUCCUCCUCGUCACGUGUGCGAAUGUGCGUGCGCGUGCGUUUUUGUUCUUUUCUUUGGGUAUAUCACGAACCCCAAAAAAAAUUGUUUUCCCCACACAGCAAUCGACCGAGCGUUCAAAGAAGCAAUGGCCGAGGAAGGCGAGGAAAUCGGCCACAUAAAGCGAUGAGGCUAGAACGCUCGAUAAAACGAAAAGGAUUUCUUUUUGCACUUCACUUGGCUUCUCCCCCCCUCCCAGCGUCUUCUCCCUCUUCCUCUUUCUCCAUACCCGCAGAGAGCGAUGAAGCUGUGGUGCGGUAUGUGUGUGUGUGUGUCUUUAGCACAUACACAAGCGCGUGCACAGGCGGUAGAAGUGCCCUUCUACGCGAACAACAACAACAACAAAAAAAAAACGUAGAGAGCCUGCGCCGAGCUCCUUCUUGGUGUCAUGGCGCGGCGGUGGACAACGGCGUCUUCAUAUGUGUGUGUGUGCGCGUGCGUUUACGCUUUUCUUCGUUUCUUAUUUGCUUCUGUGCUUGUGUUUAGUUCUACUCCAAGCGGAACGCAAAGCGAAGAGGGCGCCCAUGCACCUUCUUGCGCUUUUUUAUGUGGCGUUUCCUUUUUUUUUUGUUUGCUUGCUUGCUUGCUUGAUGCUGUCUGCAUCCCAUCACAUGCGCCGUGUGUGUUUCUUCGUUGUCAUCGAAAGUGGUAGCGGAUAAACACAUGCAAAGGAACGGGGGAAAAACGAGAAAUGGAGACACGUGAAAAAAAAAAAACAAAAAGGACACACAAACUCGAGAACACGGUCAAGCCACGUCUUGCUGCUUUUUGUUGUACUUCUGUUUUCUUUUUUUCCACCUUUUUUCUUGUGUCUUUUAGCACCAUUUCUCCGGUCCUCUCGACGUCUCGCUCACCUCCAUCGGACCUCUUUCGUCCCUUGACGGUGCUGGAUCCGUUUUCCCUUUUGCGCUCCUUUUCUUUGAAACAUUUUCUUGUGUUGGUUUGCUCGGCAUCCUCUUUCUGUCUUUUUGUUCCGUUGUUGUGGUUGCGACUUUGGAACUGCCCUUCUGAGUUUAUCCCUUGUACCCCUCGGCCCCUCGCCUCCUGCCCCGCAUGAGGUUUCCCUCAUCAGCCGUCCUUCCACGAGCAGUGGCCGCUACACGCUAUACACCGCACGAGUUCAGCCAUGGCUCUCUCGCCGAUAUUUGACGCAGGAGGAGAAGAGCGAUAAUGGAGCGGCUUGGGGGCAUGCAAUGAAAGCUGAACUCUCCCUCUUCCCUCCCUCCUCCUCACGCUUACGUGGAAUAGAGGUGCUUGUGUGUGUUUUCGUUUUUUUUUUCGCCUUUUUCGGUGCUUUUCGCUCAUUAGCUUUAUUCUUUUUUUUUCCGCUGCUUUCACACUUGCCUCCUAUGACGAAUGAGUUCGAACGCAGAUUUUUCCCCGUUUUGGCAGUUCUUGCUUCUUCGUUUGUUCGACUUUCUUCAGCGUUUUUUUUUUCUUCAAGUUUCCAAAAGGGAGUGCUUCACUUCUACUGGCUCCGCCUGUCGCCUCCCCCUCCCCGCCCAAACACUUCAUUUCUCUGCGGCUAAAGGCAAAAAAAAAAACAGGAACCAAAUAGAGGGCUGGAAACUGCCGGGGCUGACGCAUGUGUGUCUGUGCGUAUGCAUGCAUGAUCGUACGCUUCUAUUUUUUCGGACACCUCUCUCUUUGUUUUUUUUUUCCCCGAACCUCCUAUUCGGACGCCUCCUCCAUGUCCCAUUCCACAGUUUUUUCCUUUCCCUCAGAGAGGAAGAUUGGAGGAAAAGGAGGCGCUCCUUUUACAAGAUUUGUUUUCACGCUUCUGCCGCCGCCCCCUUUUUUUUCUAAUAUGAUGUCCCCCCUUCACAAACAAACAAAAAAGUGCGUUCGCCCUUUUUCCCCUCACAACGAAAAGCGUACUUGAAACGUACAAGAAAAAAACAAUUUAUGAUGUGCUCGGCAUGCUGAAUUCCCCCCUUCCCCCCGAAAUGAGCUUUCUUCUGUCGGCGGACAAGCAGUGUCCGAACAAGUCUAUCACAGGCACACAAACGAGGGAGUCGGUGGGCAAAAGCGCUGUGCUGAGGUGAGGCUGCAUUUUUUUUUGUUGUUCACUGCUGUGCUGUGACUCAUGGUUUGUUUUUGUGUUUUUGCGUUGCGUGUCUGCUACGAUGGGUCAUUCAUGCUGUCUGACGCGGAGUGAUCAGACCACUCGCACGCACUGGAGAGGGAUGGUGAGAGGCGAACCAACAACAGAAAGGCAAAGGUACACGAGAUACGCACGUUCGCUCGCGGUUCCUGUUGUAGUCGUGCUCGAAGGCAAUCACGACCAGCAAGUCCCCACCACCACCAACUAAUACCACCCCUCGAAAAAGAACAGAACAAGCGCAGUGUCACUGCCGGUAGAGCUGCGGCACUUGAAGUACUUGAUGUGGGGCGCAUCGGCAUACACCGAACGCGCAUAACCGUCCCCUCUCACACACCAGCGAUCUUCCUUUCACUUCUCGUUUUCGAAUCUCACCUUCUGUGCUAGCUCGCGCCGUGACAAAGUGGUGUUCGUGGAUGCGUCGCAGAAGUGCGUAUAUUCGCUUGUGUGCGUGUGUGUGUGUGUUGCACGUCCUUGCCGGCUUCAUUUUGAUGCGCGCGGUCCUUUUCUUGCUCGUCUCUCCCCCACGUCUCUCUCUAUUCACGCUCCCACAUUUGAACCGCAUUCUGUUGUCUUUUUCUCUUUAGUCGGAGGUCUUCCGUGCGCGCUUUUCCUUGUGAUUUGCUUUCUGUGCGCUCGUAAGUUGUUGUCGUUCGAUGCUAGUCGUUGCCGUUCCUUUCGCGACCCCCCUCCCCCCAUCCGCCUGCUCUUCCCCUGUUGUCCUCCUCCUCGUUGGUACUCUUUUCAUUCCACCUUCUUUGUUUUCUCUCAGUGCGUCUUCUUUUUGAGCUCCAUGUUUAUCCCGUUGACCAGUACACACAACCAUGACACUCUCCACGUCGCCCCCAUCUUUUUGCUUGUUGUUUUCCCAUCUUUCUGUAUCUGUCUUCAUCUCUCUCUUUUCUUUCUCUUACUCGCUCAGCCGAAAAACAGAAAAAGUUAGAGCUCACCACAGGAGCGCUGCUCUCUCUCCCCAUUCUCUCUUCUUGUUCUCUUUCUCUCUUUCCGUAUUGCCUUCCGUGCACCUUGUGUGGUCUUGGAGGGAGGAGAGAGGGACGGUUAGGAAGAGAGAGCGAAGGAAAAGAAGGGGGCAGGAGGGGACACUCGCUGGAAAGAUAUGAAGCAACGAAGAAAAAAGGGCACACAUCCGCAUACAUAGAUGUACGCAGACAAGUGCUUUCUUCAUAUUUCUUUUGCGCUUGUCUUGCUUCAUCUCUUUUUUUUUCUUUUUGUUUUCGCUCUUUACUUGCAGUGAGCUAUUUUUCCCGUUUAUAACGUGAAGUAUGCUUGCUCUCUUCUCCUCCGUCCUGUUUUGCGUUACCUCUUCUCUUUCACCUCUUUUCACUUCCCCCACCUCCUCCUUCCUUUCUGAAACAACGUCCGCAUAUUAUGCUUUUCUUUUUUUUUUGUUCUUGUUUGUCGGUACUUCUUCUUUCCGCGUUCUUUCUGCUCUCUGAGUGCGUGUUUUGUGUUGUUUCGUUUUCGCCCAUCUUUUUUUUUUUUGGUUACGUCUAUCCUCCUUCUAUAACGGACUCUCUUUCUCCCUCUCUUCUCCCUCCCCCUUCCUCCCUCCCCUUUAGCUUCUUCCAUUUCCCAUGCUUUGCUUUUUUCUUCUGUUUCACUGGGUCUCCUCGCCCCACAUUCCUUCCUUGUCUUGAUUAUACUCGAUCUCUUCUUCCACCCUGUUUCUUCCCGUAUAGCUUCUCUUCCUUUUCUUGUUCAAGCACGCGUUUGCCUCUCGUUUUUUUUUUGCACUGCAUUACUUUUUUCUUCUCGUGCGUAUGCGUGCUUGACUCCUCCAACGUUGCACCCUCCACUUCCCUUUCUCACACGGAAACGCAAACGCGGCUGCUGUGCACCGUCACCUCCCUAAGAGAACGAGCACAAGCCGACUCCGGCAGUGAAGUCGUCGCUGCUAUCCGUGAUUGCACACCCACGCACAUGAAUACGCAGACACCGAAGGGAAGCGCAAAAAAAAAUGAAUACCUCUUCCGCGAGUAGGUUUUCUCUAUAGGACGAAAAAUUAUGCUCCUUUUUUCCUCUUUCAGGUACCCUGUGAGUCUAUGUGGAUGUGAUGUGUGAUGCGUGUAGGUUUUUCACAUCCAUAUCUCCUACGUUGCUCUUUUACUAUCUUGUCGAACUUCUUGCUCCAUGCACGUUUAUUGAAGAGGAUGCGACCGGUGCCACACGUCUUCUUCUUUAUAUCUUUCAACUGACGAAGGCGCUGCCUCUUUUUCGUGUUCUCCGUGCUCUCGACGGAGCUUGGUCUUUUCUCCCUUGUUUCACUUCGCCUUUCUUCUAACUUUUUUUUCUUGUUCUGCCAUCUCCAAGUUUCACCACGCCCACGCGUUCGCUUGCAACGGAAAGUCGCUCUCCUACUCUUACGGCCUCCACUGUUUUUCUCCCCUCUCCUUCUUUCCCUUCUCGGGUCAUACGCUCCUCCCUUCGUCACGUGCCCUCCGCCGAUAAAAAACGACAGCGAUCUCCUCCUCUUCAGCCCCGUCCUCCCUUCUGUUGCUCCCCCUCAGUGACUUCACUCUGUUCCCUCGAUUUUUGUUUUUUGAACGGUGGGAUUUCGACGGCAGCGGUGCAUAUCUUUUGCUCUAUUCGGUGCUUGUCAACUUCGCAGCUGUCACCUACUAGCGUAGAGAGAGAGGAGUGCGGUCUGGCCCGGGUUGGUGGCGGACACGAAGCGUGAAGCGAGAGGAAGGGUGGCGGGUCUCUUUUUUUGUUUUGUCGUUCUUAGCUGGAUACACGUGCCUGCGCUUGCGAGAGACGGCGGCGGUAGGGGACGAAGGCGGAGCACACACGACGCAUGCAGAGUGGCUAUGAGAAGGUGAUCAAAGGAUGGUCAUGAGGGGAACAGAGGCGGUGGCAACCGUGAAAGCAACAGCAGAGGGAAUAAACCGGAUACACACGUACGGCGUAGAAGGAAGAGUUCGAAUGAGUCCUUGUUUUUCGAUCAUCAAGACCGUGCGCCUCCUCCGUUUUCUCCCUUCUGCAUCACGUUCCUGCCUCUUUUGCUGUCUGCCUGCUCGCGCGUCUCUCUUGAAUCCUUCCCUUCUGCUCCCCCUGAGGCAACGCAGCCUUCACCUUUUUUUUGUCGUCACGUGUAUUACACGAUCUCUCUCUCUCUCUCGUUCUCUCAGAGGCACUGCAGCGCCCGUCAAGCAUGAGAUCUGCUAGUUUUCGUUUUUCAUCGCUUCUGUUUUUGUGUGGUUGCUUUCCCUCAUCUCUCGCACACACACACACACACGCACACGUUUGGCUGCUUGUCUUUGACGAGCGCUUUCAUUUUUUUUUUCUUUGCCAUUCACUCGUUUUUGCCUUGCCUUCGUUUGGCGAUGGCGCCGUCUCCUUUACGCUCCACUCUCCCUCGAUAAUUUUCUGUUUGUGCUGUUUUCGCUCCUUUCCGUGCUCCUGUGUGCUCCACGGCGCGAGCCGGCUCACUGCCGACCUUGAGCAGAGAUGUGGCUCGGUGCUGCCAUCGACGACCCACGCACCGUUGUAAACCUUCCACACAGCGGACCGGAAAAUGUACCGUGCCCUUAUGGACAAAUCGGCCUGCAAAGGCCGUGCCCACCACGGCGGCGCAGAAGCGAGGACGCGCGGGCUUCAGAGAACCGUGCUGGCUCCGACAUCACAAAAACCCGAAAGCCCAUCACGGAGGGAAGGCAGGGACCGCACAUGCCGUUUCACCCGCAACAAACGCCGCCACGCAGACGCACACCUGCAACGUGCUUAUCACGAAUGCGGUGAACUUCAUGACUAGACUCGCAGCCAAGAUUACCAGGAAAGCCGUCUUAUCUGCUGGAGGCCUUUCUAAGACCGUUCUCAACUCUGUAACUGGCACUGUCGAAGGCCGCUCUUGAGAAGGUACUCUGUGGGUUGCGCGAACACCGCCCCAUUGCAUCUGUGUUCAAAAAGCUCCAAAAUGCGGAUCUCGAGGACUGCGCACAGUUCUCGACGCUCUCUCACCCCCUGGGACCCUAGACUUUCAACACGGAUUCCAGGAUAUCCAUGCCCCCCACCCCCUUGCACACUGCGCACACCAGCAAUCAGGCGAAGCAACCGCUAAGGUAAUAUUUCGAAAAAGAAAAACAACCAUUGGGGGCCGUUUCCACUUUCUUUUUUUUUGCUUUUUGCUCCCGUCGUCCUGAUGACGGCGGACACGCCCAUGUGCGUGGUAUCCCAGACUGCAGUGCAGCCCCCCCCCCCUCCCCUCCCCCCACACCACCAGCUCUCUCCGCGUGGGGAGAAGCCGAGCGGCACCCCUCCCCUCUCCUCUAUCGGCCUGCCCAUGCCGAACCGCUUGUGGCGCUGACAGGGUCAGGGCGAUGUAUCGCUACCCCUGCCAGCGGCCAGGUGCUGGAUCGGCGUGGCAUCGCUGCGGCCUGCGACAGUGCACCGGUCUGACCCGUCCAUAUGAUGGGGGAAGUGCCAGCGCAAUGCAAAGAUGUCUCACCCGGGCCUCACUGCCGACUGGUGUGGGGAGCCGGAGCCCCCCUCCCGAGGGGGCCGCACCAGGGGUGGCGGCCUGCAUGGUGGGAGGAGCUGCUGUGAGGCGGCCUGUGAGGCGGGGUGGGUGGGUGGCGUUUGAGGGCAGGGGCCGUGCUCUCAGAUGGCUGAGUCGGCACCUCGCUGCAAGGUGCGUGUGCCUAGGGCCGCCAUCGCCCCACGCGAUGGAGGGCGUGUGACAGGGCCGGGGGUGGAGUGGAGCCCGAACUCAUGUUGUAUGGCAGAGAAUAGACGCAUUGAGGCGAAGAAGAAUUCCCUCUUUUCGGCUUUGUGCCGUGCUGGGGCUCUCCUUUAGUGCAGCGGAUUCAUCAUUUUUUUUUCUGUGCUCGUUUUGGUUUGUGUUUGUGUUUUCUGUAGGGAAAUGUGUAUUAGUAGUGUAGUAAGGUGUUUUGCAUCUCCUUGUCUCUUUUCUCUCUUGGUGCGCUGUCGUCAUGGCCGACCUGUUCUGUGUUGUAUUGUGUCGGCGAAAACCAUUGCUCUCCCUCUUUGGCCCAUCGCUCUCCGGUGCUUUUUUUCCUGGGUCCUAUUCACAUGCGCUUUUCUUUGUCUGAUCCGCGCAACGAACUUCCGACCUUGCUGGAUUGAAUUUGGGCAGGAGAGGACAUGCGCACGUGAGAGAGCCCGUUAUCUGUGUAUGGUGAGGCUGUCUGUUUAUGCUUUUAUCUGCGUCUCAUCCUCUUGCACGUAUCUUCACGUUGCUCAGAGCUGCGUCUCUUCCGUUUCUUUAUGUGCGACGAACGCGUCUCCACCAUUCUCUUACACGACGUCACCACCUCCUUCACUUUUCUCCGUUCCGAUGUCACUCUCCCGCUCUUUUUAUUCUCUCCUGUAAGUAGUUCUUUUUUUUUCUUAUGCUCCGUUUGUGCUUCCCUAUCCUUGUCUUCUACCAUGCUUUCUUUGAAUACACUCAUCUCUCGUGUUUGUGUUUCGCUAGGAUUUUUAUCGAGGAUAAACCGGUGCCAUGCCGUCUGCAUGACGCACCACACCGACUACCCCGUAGAUCUCUCCCCACCGCCUUCAUAUCUGCAUGGUGGCACCGCAACGGGUAGCGAACACGACAAGAGCGUGACAGCGGAAACAGACAGAGAUGCACCAAAAACAGCCGUGUCUUUUUUUUUCCCGGUAUACGAUGAGGCUGCUGUGCUACGCUGUCCACUCGUUCUGUCUGUUGAUGUCCGUAUAUGCAUACGGAGGUGCUUUUUUUUGUUUUUGUGGUUUGUUUUUGUGCUUCUUUGCAGCUGCUGUUCUGUGUGUGCGGUGCCUCCCAGUCGCUUUACUCUGUUCUCAUAUUUUCUCCAGCUGUUUCUCUCGCUCUCCAUGUUUUCCUUCGAAGCCGGUUUUGCUUCUCUCUGUCUUGCAUGACUGCUCUGCGACCUCCUCGCCCCUCGCUUUCAUACUCCUCGUGUAACUUUCUCUCUUUCGCUCGCGGUCUGUAUAUGCCUGUAUGUGUGAAGGCUUUUUCUGGAACGGUGUCACAACCGCAGUAACAUGCGCACUCGCAGAGCAGGAAAGGAGAGAGGAGGGCAAGACAGGCAAAAAGGCGGGAGCACUCAACAACAACAAAACAGAAGGUACGAACAUGGGACGCGGGAGGAAUAGAAGAGAACAUGGGCAAACCAGCACACAAAACAGAAAAAAAGGAAAGCGCCAUAAUCACUACAAUCACACGGAGAGGGAUAUACAUAUAUGUAUGUAUAGGAAGCGGGAGACAGACAAGGAUAAAAGGACCUCGUGUUUGUCAACGCCUGUGCCUGAAUGCGUAUGAGCACGUUUCCGUAAAGUUGCUGGCGGAGUUGCUUUUUUUUUCUUGUUCUUUCUUUUUACUGUUUCGAAAAUUUUUUAUUGUAUUUUUGGCUCAUACGGGUGACCGUGAUAGAGUGCAGAGUAGAGUUGUAGAUCUCAUCAUUGACGACGCCCCUACUCCCACGGCUACCGAUAUAUAUAUAUAUAUGUAUGGUUGUGCUACCUUGCUCAUGCCGCCUACGGACCUCUCUUUUUUCUUUGCUUUUCCGUGUGCGUGUCGGUGUGUGUGCUGAUCGCUUUUGCCUCUUUUCUCUCCUUCUCUUUACGGGCAAGAGGUGUGGCAGUAGCCAAUGCCAGCUGCAUGGCUCUCUCUCUAUCCUAAGAGGACAUGAAUAG